GUGCGUGUGUGUAAAGAAGGAGAUUAGGACAUUUAGAGAAGGAGGGCGGGGAGGAGAGAUCCUGAGAAUAGAAAGGAGGAAAGAAAAAAAGAGGAAUGGAAAGAGACAGAGAAAGGAAAUGGGAGUGGAAGGAGGGAGGACUGCUUUGUAACUGCUAAGAUUGCAGACAGAAAUAGCACACAACCACUGUGAGCUGUAUGCGAUUCAGAAACCAAGACCAAAUUUUGCUCACUUUCAUUAAUCAGUUGCUCAGAUAGAAGGAAAUGACAUCUGGUUCUGUCUUCUUCUACAUCUUAAUUUUUGGAAAAUAUUUUUCUCAUGGGGGUGGACAGGAUGUCAAGUGCUCCCUUGGCUAUUUCCCCUGUGGGAACAUCACAAAGUGCUUGCCUCAGCUCCUGCACUGUAACGGUGUGGACGACUGCGGGAAUCAGGCCGAUGAGGACAACUGUGGUGAGUGAAGCCCCUGCAGUCACGGAGACAACAAUGGAUGGUCUCUGCAAUUUGACAAAUAUUUUGCCAGUUACUACAAAAUGACUUCCCAAUAUCCUUUUGAGGCAGAAACACCUGAAUGUUCUUUUCAUUUCUUUCUUUUCAUUACCCUCCUCUUCCUGGUCCCUCACUGUCAUCAUGCCUUACCACUUCCCCUUGAUUCAGUGGUCGGUUCUGUGCCAGUGCAAUGUCUUUGCCAAGGUCUGGAGCUUGACUGUGAUGAAACCAAUUUACGAGCUGUUCCAUCGGUUUCUUCAAAUGUGACUGCAAUGUCACUUCAGUGGAACUUAAUAAGAAAGCUUCCUCCUGAUUGCUUCAAGAAUUAUCAUGAUCUUCAGAAGCUGUACCUGCAAAACAAUAAGAUUACAUCCAUCUCCAUCUAUGCUUUCAGAGGACUGAAUAGCCUUACUAAACUGUAUCUCAGUCAUAACAGAAUAACCUUCCUGAAGCCGGGUGUUUUUGAAGAUCUUCACAGACUAGAAUGGCUGAUAAUUGAAGAUAAUCACCUCAGUCGAAUUUCCCCACCAACAUUUUAUGGACUAAAUUCUCUUAUUCUCUUAGUCCUGAUGAAUAACGUCCUCACCCGUUUACCUGAUAAACCUCUCUGUCAACACAUGCCAAGACUACAUUGGCUGGACCUUGAAGGCAACCAUAUCCAUAAUUUAAGAAAUUUGACUUUUAUUUCCUGCAGUAAUUUAACUGUUUUAGUGAUGAGGAAAAACAAAAUUAAUCACUUAAAUGAAAAUACUUUUGCACCUCUCCAGAAACUGGAUGAAUUCAGCCUAGAAGGGAUUGAAAUUUCAAAUAUCCAACAAAGGAUGUUUAGACCUCUUAUGAAUCUCUCUCACAUAUAUUUUAAGAAAUUCCAGUACUGUGGGUAUGCACCACAUGUUCGCAGCUGUAAACCAAACACUGAUGGAAUUUCAUCUCUAGAGAAUCUCUUGGCAAGCAUUAUUCAGAGAGUAUUUGUCUGGGUUGUAUCUGCAGUUACCUGCUUUGGAAACAUUUUUGUCAUUUGCAUGCGACCUUAUAUCAGGUCUGAGAACAAGCUGUAUGCCAUGUCAAUCAUUUCUCUCUGCUGUGCCGACUGCUUAAUGGGAAUAUAUUUAUUCGUGAUCGGAGGCUUUGACCUAAAGUUUCGUGGAGAAUACAAUAAGCAUGCGCAGCUGUGGAUGGAGAGUACUCAUUGUCAGCUUGUAGGAUCUUUGGCCAUUCUGUCCACAGAAGUAUCAGUUUUACUGUUAACAUUUCUGACAUUGGAAAAAUACAUCUGCAUUGUCUAUCCUUUUAGAUGUGUGAGACCUGGAAAAUGCAGAACAAUUACAGUUCUGAUUCUCAUUUGGAUUACUGGUUUUAUAGUGGCUUUCAUUCCAUUGAGCAAUAAGGAAUUUUUCAAAAACUACUAUGGCACCAAUGGAGUAUGCUUCCCUCUUCAUUCAGAAGAUACAGAAAGUAUUGGAGCCCAGAUUUAUUCAGUGGCAAUUUUUCUUGGUAUUAAUUUGGCCGCAUUUAUCAUCAUAGUUUUUUCCUAUGGAAGCAUGUUUUAUAGUGUUCAUCAAAGUGCCAUAACAGCAACUGAAAUACGGAAUCAAGUUAAAAAAGAGAUGAUCCUUGCCAAACGUUUUUUCUUUAUAGUAUUUACUGAUGCAUUAUGCUGGAUACCCAUUUUUGUAGUGAAAUUUCUUUCACUGCUUCAGGUAGAAAUACCAGGUACCAUAACCUCUUGGGUAGUGAUUUUUAUUCUGCCCAUUAACAGUGCUUUGAACCCAAUUCUCUAUACUCUGACCACAAGACCAUUUAAAGAAAUGAUUCAUCGGUUUUGGUAUAACUACAGACAAAGAAAAUCUAUGGACAGCAAAGGUCAGAAAACAUAUGCUCCAUCAUUCAUCUGGGUGGAAAUGUGGCCACUGCAGGAGAUGCCACCUGAGUUAAUGAAGCCGGACCUUUUCACAUACCCCUGUGAAAUGUCACUGAUUUCUCAAUCAACGAGACUCAAUUCCUAUUCAUGACUGACUCUGAAAUUCAUUUCUUCGCAGAGAAUACUGUGGGGGUGCUUCAUGAGGGAUUUACUGGUAUGAAAUGAAUACCACAAAAUUAAUUUAUAAUAAUAGCUAAGAUAAAUAUUUUACAAGGACAUGAGGAAAAAUAAAAAUGACUAAUGCUCUUACAAAGGGAAGUAAUUAUAUCAAUAAUGUAUAUAUAUUAGUAGACAUUUUGCAUAAGAAAUUAAGAGAAAUCUACUUCAGUAACAUUCAUUCAUUUUUCUAACAUGCAUUUAUUGAGUACCCACUACUAUGUGCAUAGCAUUGCAAUAUAGUCCUGGAAGUAGACAGUGCAGAACCUUUCAAUCUGUAGAUGGUGUUUAAUGACAAAAGACUAUACAAAGUCCAUCUGCAGUUCCUAGUUUAAAGUAGAGCUUUACCUGUCAUGUGCAUCAGCAAGAAUCAUAGGCACUUUUAAAUAAAGGUUUAAAGUUUUGGAAUACUCAGUGUAUUUGCAUCAUAGAAAAUGUCUGACUGUUUGCAAAAUAAUAUUCUGUUUUAAGAAUCCAUCUUACCUCUCUUUAAGUUUCCAUACACUUGAGAGCCAACACAACAUAUUUAUUACUAAAAAGAUGCUUUGCUAGAAACUCAAAAACAGCACUUCUUUUGGCACUUCCUGCCCAGUUUUCUCUUUGCUUUAAAUGAACAUCAUCAUAUGGAAUUGGAAUAGGAGAGUAUGAGUACGGCAGAGAAGUGGAUCAGAAAAACUAGAAUGAGGAUAAACAUUUACAUUAGUGGAAACUCCUGAAAUAAAUCCUUGUAUUGUCAGUUAACUGAUUUUCAACAAGGAUGCCAAGACAAAAAGGCUUUUCAACAAACCGUGCUGUUUUAAGAACAGACCUAAGUGGUUUAAUUCACCCACUUUAGAUGGGUGAAUGUUAUGGUGUGUGAAAUAUCUCAGUAAAGCAGUUAAAAGGAAAAAGAGCUGGAAUGCACUGAUUCAGGAACUUAAUUUCAGGAAGGAAAGGUCUGUAUGUACACAUUUCACUUUAAGCAGAAAAUCUUUCUUCAAGAAAUGACUUUACUUUCUCUUUGCACUGCCAGCACGUGAGAUACUAACUUUUUAACUAGUUGUUCUUCUCUAGUCUCUACGUUAUUAGAAUUUUUUGCUUUCAUAAUGUGAAACCUUUAAGCAGGAGAAGAAAAUGUUUUCAGAUAGUUUCAAAUACACCAAAAAUGUUUGAAACACAAAAAUACUGGAAUCAAACCAUAAUGCACUUAUUGAAUAUAUAGUUGUAUAGAUUUGUUCUGAAAAUAAAUUAUCUGAAAUUUAACUAUUAA
This 3812-nucleotide long non-coding RNA is filed under the name Homo sapiens (human). RNAcentral's name for it is "long non-coding RNA NONHSAT098999.2". The record is from RNAcentral. Lineage: Eukaryota; Metazoa; Chordata; Mammalia; Primates; Hominidae.